AUCGCUUCUCUGCCUUUUGGCUAAGAUCAAGUGUAGUAUCUGUUCUUAUCAGUUUAAUAUCUGAUACGUCCUCUAUCCGAGAACAAAAAAAAAAAAAAAAAAAGAAAGAAAGAAAAUGAAGUUUUCAGGGAUAUUCUCACUGUCCACAAUGCCAUGAAUUUCACAAAGGUGAGCAGAGAUUUC
Molecule: small nuclear RNA, 183 nt
Organism: Oryctolagus cuniculus (rabbit)
Lineage: Eukaryota; Metazoa; Chordata; Mammalia; Lagomorpha; Leporidae
Gene: U2
Rfam family: U2 spliceosomal RNA
About the family: U2 is a small nuclear RNA (snRNA) component of the spliceosome (involved in pre-mRNA splicing). Complementary binding between U2 snRNA (in an area lying towards the 5' end but 3' to hairpin I) and the branchpoint sequence (BPS) of the intron results the bulging out of an unpaired adenosine, on the BPS, which initiates a nucleophilic attack at the intronic 5' splice site, thus starting the first of two transesterification reactions that mediate splicing.
Source: Ensembl